CCCACCUUAGCUUAGUUGGGAAAGCGCAUCCAUCGUCGCUGUACGUUGGAUGAGACACGGGUUCGAUCCCCGUAGGUAGGG
Molecule: transfer RNA, 81 nt
Filed under: Pseudomonas phage D6
Lineage: Duplodnaviria; Heunggongvirae; Uroviricota; Caudoviricetes
Description: tRNA-OTHER
Rfam family: tRNA
About the family: Transfer RNA (tRNA) molecules are approximately 80 nucleotides in length. Their secondary structure includes four short double-helical elements and three loops (D, anti-codon, and T loops). Further hydrogen bonds mediate the characteristic L-shaped molecular structure. tRNAs have two regions of fundamental functional importance: the anti-codon, which is responsible for specific mRNA codon recognition, and the 3' end, to which the tRNAs corresponding amino acid is attached (by aminoacyl-tRNA synthetases). tRNAs cope with the degeneracy of the genetic code in two manners: having more than one tRNA (with a specific anti-codon) for a particular amino acid; and 'wobble' base-pairing, i.e. permitting non-standard base-pairing at the 3rd anti-codon position.
Source: RNAcentral